GACGAAGGGGGCUAGCGUUGUUCGGAAUUACUGGGCGUAAAGCGCGUGUAGGCGGUUGCCCAAGUCGGGUGUGAAAGCCUUGAGCUCAACUCAAGAAAUGCACUCGGUACUGGGUGACUAGAGGACCGGAGAGGAUAGUGGAAUUCCCAGUGUAGUGGUGAAAUACGUAGAGAUUGGGAAGAACACCAGUGGCGAAGGCGGCUAUCUGGACGGUUUCUAACGCUAAGACGCGAAAGCGUGGGGAGCAAACAGG
Molecule: ribosomal RNA, 253 nt
Filed under: uncultured bacterium
Lineage: Bacteria
Description: partial 16S ribosomal RNA
Rfam family: Bacterial small subunit ribosomal RNA
Source: RNAcentral